Molecule: long non-coding RNA, 322 nt
Organism: Chiroxiphia lanceolata (lance-tailed manakin)
Lineage: Eukaryota; Metazoa; Chordata; Aves; Passeriformes; Pipridae
Exons: 3
Source: RefSeq, a predicted model, not a curated record
UCCUGCAGAUCCUGCCAAGGCACCUGCAGAGCCAGUGCCCAGAGAGGCGGCACCUGGCUCUGCGAGGGCUCCUGGUGCUCAGCGUGGAUCCCUCGAUGGCCAAAGGCAUCUGCAGCCUGUCUGAGGACCUCCUGGAGCUGCUGCGUGAUGGAGAUGGAGAGCUGGUCGCCAUGACCCUCUCCUUGUUCCGGAAUGUGCUCCAGGAUGGAGACAACCGUGACGGGUUCAGCUCCACUGCCCCGAGGCUGGCUGAGGCGCUCCGGCCAGUCUUUGACUACGACAACAGCCACGUGCAGCUGCUCUCCAUUUGCCUCUUCGGAGA